RNAcentral lists this ribosomal RNA (640 nucleotides) under uncultured Rothia sp. Its description in RNAcentral is "bacterial SSU rRNA". It matches the Rfam family "Bacterial small subunit ribosomal RNA", at positions 28 to 674 of the family's 1533-position model. Lineage: Bacteria; Bacillati; Actinomycetota; Actinomycetes; Micrococcales; Micrococcaceae. The record is from RNAcentral.
GACGAACGCUGGCGGCGUGCUUAACACAUGCAAGUCGAACGAUGAAGACUGGUGCUUGCACUGGUUGGAUUAGUGGCGAACGGGUGAGUAAUACGUGAGUAACCUGCCUUUGACUCUGGGAUAAGCCUGGGAAACUGGGUCUAAUACCGGAUAUGACAAGGAACCGCAUGGUUUUUUGUGGAAAGGGUUUGUACUGGUUUUAGAUGGGCUCACGGCCUAUCAGCUUGUUGGCGAGGUAAUGGCUCACCAAGGCGACGACGGGUAGCCGGCCUGAGAGGGUGACCGGCCACACUGGGACUGAGACACGGCCCAGACUCCUACGGGAGGCAGCAGUGGGGAAUAUUGCACAAUGGGCGCAAGCCUGAUGCAGCGACGCCGCGUGAGGGAUGACGGCCUUCGGGUUGUAAACCUCUUUCAGCAGGGAAGAAGCGAAAGUGACGGUACCUGCAGAAGAAGCGCCGGCUAACUACGUGCCAGCAGCCGCGGUAAUACGUAGGGCGCGAGCGUUGUCCGGAAUUAUUGGGCGUAAAGAGCUUGUAGGCGGUUUGUUGCGUCUGCUGUGAAAGACCGGGGCUUAACUCCGGUAUUGCAGUGGGUACGGGCAGACUAGAGUGCAGUAGGGGAGACUGGAAUUCCUGGU